AUGAAAGAAGAGGAGAUUCAGCAAAGUGAGGAAGGAGUGAAAAGAAGGAAGGCUCUCAAGGAGAGCAUGGGCUGUCAGGAGGGGAAGGAAAUUCAUGCUCCCAAGUUCUGCUUCUGCUCCCGAUCUUGCUUGAGUCAAGAACCUCAGAAACCUUCUGGAGAUUUGAAUAUGGGGACCAUGGCCUGGUUGGAAUCUGGAGGGAAAUGGCACAAACCAGUCCAAGAAUUAGGAAAGGUCCACAAAGGACACCGACAACAAAUACACACACAACAGAAGAUGAGCCCAGCCCUGAAGCCCGUGGUGGUGAGGGGGUGCCUGCGAGCUGAGAAGGGGAGUCAGGUAAGAGCAUCAUCUCCCAGGGGUGUGGAGCUGGGUCUGGGACAUGCAAGGGAGGAGCCCAAGAGGAAAGGGCAGGACACGAAGGCGGGCAGGCUUUACUGAAUGGUGCAUUUCCUCCUUAUGGAGAGACCCAAAAGGACAGAAGAGGAAGAUGAGAGAAAGAAAAGAAACCCAAUCCUUUCCAGAGGAGAAGAGGGCAGCUUGGGGGUCAGAGGGCACCUCCAGACCACCACCCCCCAGACCCCCUAAAACUUCACACUCCACACCUGCCUCUCCUGGGCUAAAGGCCAGUUCUCAUUUCAGAAGUAGAAUUGGACAUAUUUUGUGUUUCGUCUGAGGAAUCUGCAGGCAUGCAUUUCUUCUGGAUGGCUCUUCUCUGGGCCCUCUUUUCCUAUUUGAAAUUUCCUUUCUCACCACCUCUUGCCUGUGGGUUUGGGCUGCUCCAUGCACUGUACCCCAAAGACACUGGAACCUAAGACUGACUUUAAAAACAUGCUUUUUUAUUUUUAACUGACUGCAAAAUACACACAGGCACAGAGCCAGGAAGAAACAAAGAAGUGCACAGAAUUCCUCCACCAGAGAUAAGGACGACUAACAUGACAAUCUACAUACUUAGUGGUUUUCCUUGGCAUAUACGUAUGUCAUCUUUUCAAAAUAUGAUGUGUAAAGGAACUUCCCCCUCCCCCUCCUUUACUCAUUUGCUCCAAAUAAAACGCGUGUGGAAGAUUCAUGAACUUACUGGAGAGAGAACCUGACUGCUGUAGAGAACGUUCUCUGUGAUAAGCAUGAAGGAAGGGACCACCUUAUCAGACAUUUCAGAGAUUUCCUUUUAUCAUGUGACUUGUCAGAUAUGACUUGUCAGAUGGCCGUCGCUUCCUAUGCAUCUGGGAGGUUUUUGUGAAGGGAUUCUUUCUUGUCUUGAACAACCAUAGAAGGAAAAUCAGAUCCGCGGGAAGAGUCCUGGAGGCUGAAGGAUCUGGGGAGAACAUGCGGACAGAAGCAGAAUAAGGUGACUGAGGACAGGGGUUCCCGCUCGGUGGGUAGCAGGCACGUUUCCAGACGGGCUCACAGGGCCUGCACCGGCCCCGCUCAGGACCCAGCGUGGCCUUGUGGCCCAGACACAACACUGCUUCUGGCAACUUCUUUGGUGCCCCUGACCCCGCCUCCUGGGUGCUGGAGGUGUUUAAGUCCAGGUUUACCGCUGCUGCCCUGUGGGCGGAUGGGGGCGUCCCAGUACAGUGGCUGCCGAGCACGGCUGCCCUCCAGGGCACCCAUGUCCUGCCCUGCUUGGCUCAAAGGCUCCGGCCAACAGGAGUUCCCCUCCACUUGGCAGAGGAGCUCUAGGUCCAACUUGGUCAUCUUAAGUCUGAGAAUUUGGAGGUGGGAUUAAGAAGUCCUGGAACUUCAGUUGGCUCAUCUAAUUCCAUGAGAUUUCUUUAAAAAGACUAAUAAAUAUAUUAUCUCGACAAAACGAACAUAAUUUUUCUUCGGACCCUUUGUUGAUCCUUUGUCCUCUUUAAGGAGACUUCAGAGCAGUGCUUCUCCAAAUGUGGCCCAGACGAGCAGGAUCAACUUGUCAGAAGAGCACGUCAUGGCUCCCGCAGACCUGCUGAGCCUGAAAAUCAGAUGUGCUGCGUGGCCUGCAGUCUACAGCAAAUUGCUAAGAGCUUUAGAAAACAAAUGUGUGGAUGCGACUAGGAAUGACCGAAAAAAGCAAGAAGCAUUCUGACGGAGCUCCAUUCGGGACAGACUUGGGAGAAAGACCUUGUUGACCUCUCUGUCCUCAGAGGCCCAAGUGCACAGUCAGAAUGCAAUGGCCAAGGGAAUUCCCUGAGGGUGCAGUGGUUAGGACUCAGCACUUCCACUGCAGGGGCCAUGGGUUUGAUCCCUGGUUGGGGAGCUAAGAGCCUGCAAGCUGUGUGGUGCAGCCAAAAAACAAAAACCAAAAAAAUCCAGUGGCCAGAGCGAGUGGCAGCCCUGAAAUGCUCAUCUCCCUGAACUCUCGCCCCUCUCUUCCUCCCACCAAGCUCCCCGCUCUUCUCCUGUCCCUCUCCUCCUGCCCUCACAUUUGAUUUUCUUGCCCUGGAGAAUCUCCUGCAUGAUCAGCUCCCCCUCCAGGAAGUCUGCCCUGACCAUCCCUUUGCCCAGUGCCCACAGCACUCUGUCUGAAUCCUGUUCCAAGCUCUUGGACUUCUAGGAAAGGAGACCUGGGCUGGAGUCCCCCUUGUCACCCCCCCAAUGGAGCCUGCCACAGAAAGGAUGAACACAGCUGGGGUGCAGGAGCAGCAGAUAAGAAAUCCUAGCAAAGAGCGUUAGACAGG
RNAcentral lists this long non-coding RNA (2660 nucleotides) under Ovis aries (sheep). RNAcentral's name for it is "lncRNA (ENSOARG00000025651.1)". The record is from RNAcentral. Lineage: Eukaryota; Metazoa; Chordata; Mammalia; Artiodactyla; Bovidae.